This 743-nucleotide ribosomal RNA is filed under the name uncultured bacterium. Its description in RNAcentral is "bacterial SSU rRNA". It matches the Rfam family "Bacterial small subunit ribosomal RNA", at positions 28 to 776 of the family's 1533-position model. The record is from RNAcentral.
GAUGAACGCUGGCGGCAUGCCUAAUACAUGCAAGUCGAACGGAGCACUUCGGUGCUUAGUGGCGAACGGGUGAGUAACACGUAGGUAACAUACUUAUAAGCCGAGGAUAACGGUUGGAAACGACUGCUAAGACUGGAUAGGAAUAUUGGGGGCAUCCCUGAUAUUUUAAAGGACCACAGGUACACUUAUAAAAUGACCUGCGGCGCAUUAGCUAGUUGGUAAGGUAGCGGCUUACCAAGGCGAUGAUGCGUAGCCGGACUGAGAGGUUGAACGGCCACAUUGGGACUGAGACACGGCCCAGACUCCUACGGGAGGCAGCAGUAGGGAAUUUUCGGCAAUGGGGGGAACCCUGACCGAGCAAUGCCGCGUGAAUGAAGAAAUACUUCGGUAUGUAAAGUUCUUUUAUUUGGGAAGAACGGCUAGUGGAAAAGCUAGAGUGACGGUACCAAAUGAAUAAGCCCCGGCUAACUAUGUGCCAGCAGCCGCGGUAAUACAUAGGGGGCAAGCGUUAUCCGGAAUUAUUGGGCGUAAAGGGUGCGUAGGCGGUUAGUAAAGUUUAAGGUAUAAGCUCAUGGCUCAACCAUGGGAGGCUUUAGAAACUGGCUAACUUGAGUGCAGUAGAGGCAAGUGGAAUUCCAUGUGUAGCGGUAAAAUGCGUAAAUAUAUGGAGGAACACCAGUAGCGAAAGCGGCUUGCUGGGCUGUAACUGACGCUAAGGCACGAAAGCGUGGGGAGCAAACAGG